Aethalodelphis obliquidens (Pacific white-sided dolphin) is the source of this 1212-nucleotide long non-coding RNA. RefSeq lists it as uncharacterized. The record is from RefSeq and is a predicted model, not a curated record. Lineage: Eukaryota; Metazoa; Chordata; Mammalia; Artiodactyla; Delphinidae. The transcript has 4 exons.
UAUAUUGCUCAUUUAUUCUCUCCAUGUUUAAAAAGCAUUUCAAAAUAACAAAAUUAUUAUAUACCCCAUACAAUUCAGGGUAGGGUUGGGCUCAGGGAACCGCUUCAUUGUUCACAGGGCGGGCAGAACCCUCUGUCUCCAAACAUUUUUUGCACUAGUUUGACUUCCUGCUGUGAGUCCUGGUCCCAGUCUUGCUUGAAACCCCGUGAGGUUAAGUUCACCACCCAAGGGGGGCUGGAAUUUUCCCAGCCAUAAGGAUGAGCUUCUAGUUCAGAGGUGAAAGAGGGCCUCCUGGAAGGAACGAAUAUAGCUGCUGCAGCAGAAACAGGAGGAGACAAGGGCAGAGGGCACUGGGGCUGAACCACAGGGCCUCUGGGGGAUCGUGGAGCUCUCAGGAUCCAGCAUUUCCCUGUGCUCAACUGUGGGUUUCCAUUCAGUAGAACAAGGUCUGCCUUAGAGAGCAGCAGAAACUUUCUUCUAGUAGUUUCCAAAACCUGAAGACAGGGCCCAGCAGGAACUUCGAAUGGACCCAGGAGCUCCCAGGAUGCCAGGGAGCUACAAGCCCUUGAUUACUGAGACGGCCCAGCCAAUGGGCCCAGCUCCCGGGAGGCACGGUCAGGUAGUUUUGCAAGGACAGCCCACGACUAGGACAGACAGACCCGCACAAUCACACUGGAGUUGGUAAAAAGGACUCCAUAUUGCUCGUUCCCGAACUCCAGGUUUGACACCCAUUGUUCAAAAGACACAAAGCGAACGCCCUUCUUGAGGUUGGAGAACACAUGGCUGCCCUACAGACAGAAAAAGCUCCAGCCAGUGUCCGUAAUGCAGUCACAAGAGAGACCAGAGCCAGAAACUCCCAGCAGAGCCCUACUCGUAGAACCCACGAGAGAGACUGACCUCAAAGGGGACUCUCCUCCACCGCCGGAUGGGAAAAGGAUUCGAAGAGAAAUGAUGCAGGACAGCCUGGUUGACGUCUAGAAUUUGCACAAUUAGCUGAUAUAUACGUAUACGGAUCAAGGAUCACGAAGGGUGCUGAAACAGCUCAAACUUCAGAGCACUGGCUUCGUGCUUGCCGUCAGUCAGCGCUCAGCAGAAGGGCAGUUUUGAUCAUCACACUCACCAGGCAGAGACACAGAUCUCAAUCUUUCCACUGUCCAGGAGUUCUGGCCAGAAACCCUCCUCCUCCAGGUCCAACACUUCCUUCUUUUGAAA